This 977-nucleotide long non-coding RNA is filed under the name Piliocolobus tephrosceles (Ugandan red Colobus). RNAcentral's name for it is "lncRNA (ENSPTEG00000003539.1)". Lineage: Eukaryota; Metazoa; Chordata; Mammalia; Primates; Cercopithecidae. The record is from RNAcentral.
UGUGUUUUUGUUUCAUUAGCUUCAAUUAAUAUUUUAUAUUUAUAAGAGCAUAUAUAUAUGCAAACGUGCGUCGAUGGAAUAAGCUUAUGUGUAAGACUUGUUUUCUUUUAAGUUAUCAAAAAAUAUUCUCACAACAGUGUUGUAAUUUUUACUAAUGCUUUAAUUUUAAUAUAGUCAUAUAUAUAUACAUGUAUAUAUAUAUAUAUAUAUAUAUAUAUAUAUAUGUGAUAGUAAAGUUAGGUAUAUAUUUUUAUCAUAGUUAUUAUUAUUAUUAUUAUUAUUAUUACAAUUUGUUUUUUUAAUAUACUUUUUAAUUUGUUAAAAAUUGUUUGUGUCUUAUACACGCAUGCGUAUAUAUGUAUGUACACUAUAGGUAUGUUCAUAAAAUAAGUACACACAUGUACAUAUGUAUAUAUAUACAUAUACCUAGAUGCACGUUACAACAUACAUAUAUAUAAUUUCUUUUUUUUUUUUUUUUUUUUUUUUGUCAAAUUUAAAGUUCAUGUUUUAAAAAAUGGUACCUGAAAGUAAUUUAAGACCCGUUGUCUCAAAUUUGUUCAGAUGUAUAUCAGAGGAAAUUGCUAAGGAACAACCAAGAAAUGUAAUUCAUUUUAUGGUUGAUUAUUUAUUUAAAAAUUAUGCAUCGGACUUAAAAGGUUUCGAUAAAGUAUGGAAUGUAGAUAUGGAACUAGAAAAAGAAAAGAAAUUAGUCAUAUUAUUUUUUAAACACCAAAAAUUGACUACUGAAAUCGCAAAGCAUUUUAUGAAUGUUGGAUUUGAUAGUAUUGAUGCUUUGCAAUGCUUAAACGUUCAUAUUUUAGACGACAUAGAAAAUUUUAAUAAAAUUAAGUGGUUACCCGGGCACAAAAUAAGGCUACAAGUUAUAAUUCAAACUUACACAUUUUAUAUACAUUUUUUUUUGUCACUUAUUUUGUUUUGUCACUUAUUUUGUUUUGUCAUUUAUUUUGUUUUGUCAU